GGUCAAGCGAACAAGUGCAUGUGGUGGAUGCCUUGGCGAUCACAGGCGAUGAAGGACGCGGUAGCCUGCGAAAAGCCCCGGGGAGCUGGCAAACAAGCUUUGAUCCGGGGAUGUCCGAAUGGGGAAACCCACUCCGUAUGGAGUAUCCAUAGCUGAAUACAUAGGCUAUGUGAAGCGAACGCGGUGAACUGAAACAUCUAAGUAACCGCAGGAAAAGAAAUCAACCGAGAUUCCCAAAGUAGUGGCGAGCGAAAUGGGAUGAGCCUUGUACUCUUUAUUUGUAUUGUUAGCCGAACGCUCUGGAAAGUGCGGCCAUAGCAGGUGAUAGCCCUGUAGGCGAAAACAGUAUGAAAGAACUAGGUGUACGACAAGUAGGGCGGGACACGUGAAAUCCUGUCUGAAGAUGGGGGGACCAUCCUCCAAGGCUAAAUACUCGUGAUCGACCGAUAGUGAACCAGUACCGUGAGGGAAAGGCGAAAAGAACCCCGGGAGGGGAGUGAAAUAGAUCCUGAAACCGCAUGCAUACAAACAGUCGGAGCCUCGUAAGGGGUGACGGCGUACCUUUUGUAUAAUGGGUCAGCGACUUACGUUCAGUAGCAAGCUUAACCGUAUAGGGCAGGCGUAGCGAAAGCGAGUCCGAAUAGGGCGUUCAGUUGCUGGGCGUAGACCCGAAACCAGGUGAUCUAUCCAUGGCCAGGAUGAAGGUGCGGUAACACGUACUGGAGGUCCGAACCCACUAACGUUGAAAAGUUAGGGGAUGAGCUGUGGAUAGGGGUGAAAGGCUAAACAAACCUGGAAAUAGCUGGUUCUCUCCGAAAACUAUUUAGGUAGUGCCUCGUGUCUCACCUUCGGGGGUAGAGCACUGUCAUGGUUGGGGGGUCUAUUGCAGAUUACCCCGCCAUAGCAAACUCCGAAUACCGAAGAGUGCAAUCACGGGAGACAGACAUCGGGUGCUAACGUCCGGUGUCAAGAGGGAAACAACCCAGACCGCCAGCUAAGGUCCCCAAAUAUGGCUAAGUGGGAAACGAAGUGGGAAGGCUAAAACAGUCAGGAGGUUGGCUUAGAAGCAGCCACCCUUUAAAGAAAGCGUAAUAGCUCACUGAUCGAGUCGUCCUGCGCGGAAGAUGUAACGGGGCUAAGCCAUAUACCGAAGCUGCGGAUGCGUGCUUGCACGCAUGGUAGGAGAGCGUUCCGUAAGCCUGCGAAGGUGCCUUGUAAAGGGUGCUGGAGGUAUCGGAAGUGCGAAUGCUGACAUGAGUAGCGAUAAAGGGGGUGAAAGGCCCCCUCGCCGUAAGCCCAAGGUUUCCUACGCAACGUUCAUCGGCGUAGGGUGAGUCGGCCCCUAAGGCGAGGCAGAAAUGCGUAGCUGAUGGGAAGCAGGUCAAUAUUCCUGCACCAUUGUUAGAUGCGAUGGGGGGACGGAUCGCGGAAGGUUGUCCGGGUGUUGGACGUCCCGGUCGCUGCAUUGGAGAAGGCGCUUAGGCAAAUCCGGGCGCAGGAUUCAAGGGUGUGGCGCGAGCGACUUCGGUCGCGAAGCAAUUGGAAGUGGUUCCAAGAAAAGCCUCUAAGCUUCAGUCUAACGAUGACCGUACCGCAAACCGACACAGGUGGGCGAGAUGAGUAUUCUAAGGCGCUUGAGAGAACUCGGGAGAAGGAACUCGGCAAAUUGGUACCGUAACUUCGGGAUAAGGUACGCCCUUGUAGCUUGACUGGCCUGCGCCAGGAGGGUGAAGGGGUUGCAAUAAACUGGUGGCUGCGACUGUUUAAUAAAAACACAGCACUCUGCAAACACGAAAGUGGACGUAUAGGGUGUGACGCCUGCCCGGUGCCGGAAGAUUAAAUGAUGGGGUGCAAGCUCUUGAUUGAAGUCCCGGUAAACGGCGGCCGUAACUAUAACGGUCCUAAGGUAGCGAAAUUCCUUGUCGGGUAAGUUCCGACCUGCACGAAUGGCGUAACGAUGGCCACACUGUCUCCUCCCGAGACUCAGCGAAGUUGAAGUGUUUGUGAUGAUGCAAUCUACCCGCGGCUAGACGGAAAGACCCCAUGAACCUUUACUGUAGCUUUGCAUUGGACUUUGAACCGAUCUGUGUAGGAUAGGUGGGAGGCUAUGAAACCGGAACGCUAGUUUCGGUGGAGCCGUCCUUGAAAUACCACCCUGGUUUGUUUGAGGUUCUAACCUUGGUCCGUGAUCCGGAUCGGGGACAGUGCAUGGUAGGCAGUUUGACUGGGGCGGUCUCCUCCCAAAGGGUAACGGAGGAGUACGAAGGUACGCUAGGUACGGUCGGAAAUCGUGCUGAUAGUGCAAUGGCAUAAGCGUGCUUAACUGCGAGACCGACAAGUCGAGCAGGUGCGAAAGCAGGUCAUAGUGAUCCGGUGGUUCUGUAUGGAAGGGCCAUCGCUCAACGGAUAAAAGGUACUCUGGGGAUAACAGGCUGAUACCGCCCAAGAGUUCAUAUCGACGGCGGUGUUUGGCACCUCGAUGUCGGCUCAUCUCAUCCUGGGGCUGUAGCCGGUCCCAAGGGUAUGGCUGUUCGCCAUUUAAAGAGGUACGUGAGCUGGGUUUAAAACGUCGUGAGACAGUUUGGUCCCUAUCUGCCGUGGGCGUUGGAUAUUUGAAGGGGGCUGCUCCUAGUACGAGAGGACCGGAGUGGACGAACCUCUGGUGUACCGGUUGUGACGCCAGUCGCAUCGCCGGGUAGCUAUGUUCGGAAGAGAUAACCGCUGAAAGCAUCUAAGCGGGAAACUCGCCUUAAGAUGAGAUAUCCCUGGAGGCUUGACCUCCUUGAAGGGUCGUUCGAGACCAGGACGUUGAUAGGUCGGGUGUGUAAGCGCAGUAAUGCGUUCAGCUAACCGAUACUAAUUGCCCGUAAGGCUUGAUCCU
This 2881-nucleotide ribosomal RNA is filed under the name Burkholderia multivorans. RNAcentral's name for it is "23S ribosomal RNA". It matches the Rfam family "Bacterial large subunit ribosomal RNA". The record is from RNAcentral. Lineage: Bacteria; Pseudomonadati; Pseudomonadota; Betaproteobacteria; Burkholderiales; Burkholderiaceae.